UAAUUACCCUUACGUAUCCCAGCACAUCCGUUUUCCUUGUAACGGUAUAAACAAGCAUGUCCAAUGUCCAAUGUGCUGGAAAGGUAUCUUACUAGUAACAAUUAUAUGAUAAUUGAUAAUGCUGCGUAAUAAGGCUCAACAUCAAACAAAGUGUGGCAUGGCAUGGCAUGGUAUGGCAAGGGGCUGAUCGCACUACAUGACCCUGGCAGAGCACAUGGGUUAGCAUCCCGUCCUCGUUUCGGCCGCGCUCCGUCGGGCCCCUGGCUAGGAGGCUAGGGGAUGCCAAUGACAUUAUCAUCAUCAGGCUGCUUAGGCGGGAUACAAUUAUCAAGUCACUGCGCAA
This 343-nucleotide small RNA is filed under the name Histoplasma ohiense. RNAcentral describes it as "hypothetical lncRNA". The record is from RNAcentral. Lineage: Eukaryota; Fungi; Ascomycota; Eurotiomycetes; Onygenales; Ajellomycetaceae.